This is a long non-coding RNA of Astatotilapia calliptera (eastern happy), 491 nucleotides long. Lineage: Eukaryota; Metazoa; Chordata; Actinopteri; Cichliformes; Cichlidae. The record is from Ensembl.
GUCACAGAACACUGUUUAACAGCCUCCAGGAAUCAGCUUAACACCGAAUUAACUACUUAUAAUCCAAUUUUGAUAACACAGAGGAGGCAGUGCUCCAUGUGACAUUUGCCAUGUUUGUUUGUCAACAGGCUGAUAUCCAGGGCCAGCUGAAAGGAGAGAGAGGAGAAAAGGUGAGCGCUUUUUCUGUGCAUGUAGACACUGAGAAUUUAUUUAUUUAUUAUUUUUUUUUUACAAAAUCAAGUAUGUUCGUUUGACCUGUUAAAAUAUCCUAAAUAAACACCAAUAGCUGAAAAAUGUAAGGUAACUGGGUAAAAAAAAGUAUAUAGCAGCAGAUUACAUCACUGUGAUUCCCAGGGUGAUGCUGGUGACCCAGGAGAGCAUGGCGGCAAAGGCACGAAAGGCGAGGCGGGGACUCCUGGAGCUCCAGGCCUACGAGGUCCUGAGGGACAACGGGGGCCUCCAGGGACAAGAGGCGACACAGGAGACAGAGG